Molecule: ribosomal RNA, 502 nt
Filed under: uncultured bacterium
Lineage: Bacteria
Description: bacterial SSU rRNA
Rfam family: Bacterial small subunit ribosomal RNA
Source: RNAcentral
AAAGGAAUAGACGGGACCCCGCACAAGCAGUGGAGCGUGUGGUUUAAUUCGAAGCAACGCGUAGAACCUUACCAGGGCUUGACAUUACGGUGAAGGGCCUAGAAAUAGGCAGAUAUCGUAGAGAUACGAACACCGUAACAGGUGUUGCAUGGUUGUCGUCAGCUCGUGUCGUGAGAUGUUGGGUUAAGUCCCGCAACGAGCGCAACCCCUAUUUGGUGUUGCUACCGGGUGAUGCCGGGCACUCACCGAAGACCGCCGGAGACGAUUCGGAGGAAGGUGGGGAUGACGUCAAAUCAUCAUGGCCCUUAUGCCCUGGGCCACACACGCGCUACAAUGGCCGGUACAACGGGCAGCGAAAGAGCGAUCUUAAGCGAAUCCCUUAAAGCCGGUCUCAGUUGGGAUUGGAGGCUGAAACUCGCCUCCAUGAACCCGGAAUUGCUAGUAAUCGCGGAUCAGCUACGCCGCGGUGAAUACGUUCCCGGGGUUUGUACACACCGCCCGU